UACGGAGGGGGCAAGCGUUGUUCGGAAUUACUGGGCGUAAAGGGCGCGUAGGCGGCCAACUAAGUCGGACGUGAAAUCCCUCGGCUUAACCGGGGAAUGGCGUCCGAUACUGGAUGGCUCGAGUUUGGGAGAGGGAUGCGGAAUUCCAGGUGUAGCGGUGAAAUGCGUAGAGAUCGGGAGGAACAUCAGUGGCGAAGGCGGCCUUCUGGACCAGUACUGACGCUGAGGCACGAAAGCGUGGGGAGCAAACAGG
This 253-nucleotide ribosomal RNA is filed under the name uncultured bacterium. RNAcentral's name for it is "partial 16S ribosomal RNA". It matches the Rfam family "Bacterial small subunit ribosomal RNA", at positions 524 to 776 of the family's 1533-position model. The record is from RNAcentral.